ACUUCAUAAUAUUUCGAAUUCGCAUGUUUUCGAAAUUUAAGCUUUGGCGGUUAGAGAUGGGCAUGCGUGACAUUAGUUAGUUGGUGAGGUAACGGCUCACCAAGACUGCGAUGUCUAGGGGGUCUGAGAGGAUGGUCCCCCACACUGGUACUGAGACACGGACCAGACUCCUACGGGAGGCAGCAGUGAGGAAUAUUGGGCAAUGGACGCAAGUCUGACCCAGCCAUGCCGCGUGCAGGAUGACUGCCCUAUGGGUUGUAAACUGCUUUUAUUUGGGAAGAAACCCCUGCUCGUGAGCGGGGCUGACGGUACCAAAAGAAUAAGCAUCGGCUAACUCCGUGCCAGCAGCCGCGGUAAUACGGAGGAUGCAAGCGUUAUCCGGAUUUAUUGGGUUUAAAGGGUGCGCAGGCGGGAAAUUAAGUCAGUGGUGAAAUCCUGCAGCUUAACUGUAGAAUUGCCAUUGAAACUGAUUUUCUUGAGUACAGUUGAGGUGGGCGGAAUGUGUAAUGUAGCGGUGAAAUGCUUAGAUAUUACACAGAACACCGAUUGCGUAGGCAGCUCACUAAACUGUUACUGACGCUCAGGCACGAAAGCGUGGGGAGCGAACAGGAUUAGAUACCCUGGUAGUCCACGCCGUAAACUAUGAUCACUCGUUGUUGGCAAUAAACAGUCAGCGACUAAGCUAAAGCAAUAAGUGAUCCACCUGGGGAGUACGGUCGCAAGAUUGAAACUCAAAGGAAUUGACGGGGGCCCGCACAAGCGGAGGAACAUGUGGUUUAAUUCGAUGAUACGCGAGGAACCUUACCUGGGCUUAAAUGCAGAACGAUUUCCGCCGAAAGGUGGUUUCCUUCGGGCGUUUUGCAAGGUGCUGCAUGGUUGUCGUCAGCUCGUGCCGUGAGGUGUCGGGUUAAGUCCCAUAACGAGCGCAACCCCCAUCGUUAGUUGCCAUCGGGUAAUGCCGGGGACUCUAACGAAACUGCCGGUGUAAACCGUGAGGAAGGUGGGGAUGACGUCAAAUCAGCACGGCCCUUAUGUCCAGGGCUACACACGUGUUACAAUGGCCAGUACAAAGGGCAGCUACCUGGUGACAGGAUGUUAAUCUCUAAAACUGGUCUCAGUUCGGAUCGAAGUCUGCAACUCGACUUCGUGAAGGUGGAUUCGCUAGUAAUCGCGCAUCAGCAAUGGCGUGGUGAAUACGUUCCCGGGCCUUGUACACACCGCCCGUCGUGACGAGAACCGAGACGAAAAUAAGAAGUCGAUAGUGAAAGACCGCAUGACC
RNAcentral lists this ribosomal RNA (1279 nucleotides) under metagenome. Its description in RNAcentral is "bacterial SSU rRNA". It matches the Rfam family "Bacterial small subunit ribosomal RNA", at positions 168 to 1455 of the family's 1533-position model. The record is from RNAcentral.